GGGAGACCCUGUUCAAAUCCUUUCAUCAGGCAGCUGGAGGAAUUGAACCUGGAUGAGUGCCUUAACCAGGAAAAUGAAAUUUAUAAGGGAGAAAAUAUAUUUUCCAGUGUUUCUUACAAAAAUAACUUAGUUGCCUGACUCCAGAAGCAGGAUUCUCAGCUGUGGGUUAUGUACUUGCAACCUGGAGCUUAACUCAGUGGGAGGGAUGGGGGCUAGGACAUACCUCUCUUGUCAGUAUCUCCCAUUAGCUACUUUGGUGGCUCUACAUCUAGUAUGUUGGCUUUUGUGGAUCUCAUUCUUAAGUGCCAAUCUCUCUCAUUGCAUAGGGAGCUUAAGCACCUAAUUCAGGAUUUGUGGAUUCUAGUAAUUUUCUAGGCACCUUAGUCCCUUUGUGGAUCUAAUCCCACUAAAUCAUCUAGUCUGACAACUUAUAUAACACCAGCCAUAUAAUUUAAUCUAUUUACUCCUGUCUAGAGUAUAAUAGCCUGUGUUUAAUUACAGAAUAUCUUACAGAAAGGCAUCGAGAUGGAAGCAUUUCAAGGAAUGGAGACGCCACUAUUUCUUGUGGAGUGUUGUCUUGUCUGUUUCACCAAGGAGAAAGACACACACGUGGAUGAAAUCCUGGGUCCCCGGAAUUUAACUGCAAAACUCCCACUGAAUUCCACAGAUCCAGAAUUUCACCAUAGUUCACACCACAAAAGGCUUAAAAUAAGGCAAUAGAGAUGGUGUUCCCCCACGUCAAGGUGGAGGUCAUUCGAAGGACAACAUUGAAGAGCUUGUGUACCAGGGAUAAAAUGGAUAUAAUUCAUUUUACAGGCUAUUUUCUGCUUGUACUCUCUAUGCCAUGUUUGUGA
Molecule: non-coding RNA, 854 nt
Organism: Pelodiscus sinensis (Chinese soft-shelled turtle)
Lineage: Eukaryota; Metazoa; Chordata; Testudines; Trionychidae
Source: RefSeq, a predicted model, not a curated record